Long non-coding RNA from Ochotona princeps (American pika), 807 nucleotides. RefSeq lists it as uncharacterized. The transcript is spliced from 3 exons. The record is from RefSeq and is a predicted model, not a curated record. Lineage: Eukaryota; Metazoa; Chordata; Mammalia; Lagomorpha; Ochotonidae.
UAAAUAAAUCUUUAAAAUAAUAAGGAUCCAGAUUACUUUGGUUCAAAUUCUAAGUCCACUAUUUAUCAUCUAUAGGACCUUGGAUUAGUUAGUAAACUUCUCUGCGCUUCAGUAUCUUCAUUUAUAAUCUGGAGUUAAAAACCUGUUCCAAUGCAUAAGACAGUUGAUAAUACUAAGUGGAUAGGGUCCGGUGCAUUAGCCUAAUGGAUAAAGUCCUCGCCUUGCAUAUGCUGGGAUCCCAUAUGGGCACCAGCUCUAAUCCCGGCUGCUCCACUUCCCAUCCAGCUCCCUGCUUGUGGCCUGGGAAAGCAGUUGAGGAUGGUCCAAAGCCUUAGGACCCUGUACCCGCAUGGGAGACAAGGAAAAAGCUCAUGGCUUCGACCAUUGAGGCCCCUUGGGGAGUGAACCAGUGAACAGAAGAUCUUUCUUUCUCUCUGUCUCUCCUAUUUAAGCUGAGAAAUCCCAUGAUCUGUUGUCUGCAAGCUAGAGACCCAGAAAAAUCAGUAUUGGGGUUCAAGCACAGUACAAAGCCCUGAGAGCCAGGGAAGCCAGUAAUGUAAACCUCAAUCCAAGGACAAGUGAAGGCACUUGACACAGUGGGCAGGAUACUCUUGAGAUACCCAUAUCCCACCUUGGCAACCCAUAAGAAUACCUCAGUUCAAGUUGCAGCUUCCAGUUCUAACAUCUUGCUUAUGCAUAUUCUGAGAUUGUUCGUGGUGAUGGUGAUGUUCAUACGCAUAGGUCCCUGCUAACCCUUGCUGGGUUGGGGUUCCCACUGGUGAGUGCGGGGGCCGGAGUGGGGGCUGC